RNAcentral lists this ribosomal RNA (253 nucleotides) under uncultured bacterium. Its description in RNAcentral is "partial 16S ribosomal RNA". It matches the Rfam family "Bacterial small subunit ribosomal RNA", at positions 524 to 776 of the family's 1533-position model. The record is from RNAcentral.
UACAGAGGUCCCAAGCGUUGUUCGGAUUCACUGGGCGUAAAGGGCGCGUAGGCGGUCGGGCAAGUCUGAUGUGAAAUCUCACAGCUUAACUGUGAAACUGCAUUGGAUACUAUCCGGCUCGAGGAAUGGAGGGGAGACUGGAAUACUUGGUGUAGCAGUGAAAUGCGUAGAUAUCAAGUGGAACACCAGUGGCGAAGGCGGCUUGCUGGGCCGGUUCUGACGCUGAGGCGCGAAAGCGUGGGGAGCAAACAGG